RNAcentral lists this ribosomal RNA (301 nucleotides) under uncultured bacterium. Its description in RNAcentral is "partial 16S ribosomal RNA". It matches the Rfam family "Bacterial small subunit ribosomal RNA", at positions 509 to 807 of the family's 1533-position model. The record is from RNAcentral.
CAGUCGCCGCGGGAAUACGAAGGGGGCUAGCGUUGUUCGGAAUUACUGGGCGUAAAGCGCACGUAGGCGGAUUUGUUAGUCAGGGGUGAAAUCCCGGGGCUCAACCUCGGAACUGCCUUUGAUACUGCAAGUCUCGAGUCCGGAAGAGGUGAGUGGAAUUCCUAGUGUAGAGGUGAAAUUCGUAGAUAUUCGCAAGAACACCAGUGGCGAAGGCGGCUCACUGGCCCGGAACUGACGCUGAGGCGCGAAAGCGUGGGGAGCAAACAGGAUUAGAUACCCGUGUAGUCCCUGUCUCUUAUAC